AGUGAACGCUGGCGGUAGGCCUAACACAUGCAAGUCGAACGGCAGCACAGUAAGAGCUUGCUCUUACGGGUGGCGAGUGGCGGACGGGUGAGGAAUACAUCGGAAUCUACUUUUUCGUGGGGGAUAACGUAGGGAAACUUACGCUAAUACCGCAUACGACCUACGGGUGAAAGCAGGGGAUCUUCGGACCUUGCGCGAUUGAAUGAGCCGAUGUCGGGUUAGCUAGUUGGCGGGGUAAAGGCCCACCAAGGCGACGAUCCGUAGCUGGUCUGAGAGGAUGAUCAGCCACACUGGAGCUGAGACACGGUCCAGACUCCUACGGGAGGCAGCAGUGGGGAAUAUUGGACAAUGGGCGCAAGCCUGAUCCAGCCAUACCGCGUGGGUGAAGAAGGCCUUCGGGUUGUAAAGCCCUUUUGUUGGGAAAGAAAAGCAGCAGGUUAAUACCCCGCUGUUCUGACGGUACCCAAAGAAUAAGCACCGGCUAACUUCGUG
RNAcentral lists this ribosomal RNA (492 nucleotides) under uncultured bacterium. Its description in RNAcentral is "partial 16S ribosomal RNA". It matches the Rfam family "Bacterial small subunit ribosomal RNA", at positions 29 to 507 of the family's 1533-position model. The record is from RNAcentral.